This 372-nucleotide unclassified non-coding RNA is filed under the name soil metagenome. RNAcentral's name for it is "partial contains 5.8S ribosomal RNA, internal transcribed spacer 2, and large subunit ribosomal RNA". The stretch from base 1 to 120 matches the Rfam family "5.8S ribosomal RNA", at positions 35 to 154 of the family's 154-position model. The record is from RNAcentral.
GAUGAAGAACGCAGCGAAAUGCGAUACGUAAUGUGAAUUGCAGAAUUCAGUGAAUCAUCGAGUCUUUGAACGCACAUUGCGCCCCCCGGCAUUCCGGGGAGCAUGCCUGUUCGAGCGUCUCCAGGACGAAUCCUCGCGCGAGUGAACGCGCGGUCGUGGCGGAGGUGGCGUGCCCGAGCAGGGCGGCCACCGCGCUGGAAUCCAUGGGCGGACGCCUGCCGCGUGGCCGAGCGUGAUAUGACGCAUUGGCGCUCGUGCGCGGCGAGGCUGCCAGCCCUGGCCCGUCUGUCGGGCGGGGUAGAUCACCACGUGGGAACUCCUCGAAUCAGGUAGGGAUACCCGCUGAACUUAAGCAUAUCAAUAAGCGGAGGA